CCUGGCUGCUUAGCCAAGGAUCAUGGCCAUGGACUAGGAUCAGGAUGCAGGAGGCGCACAUUCAGGCUACUUGCAGCCCUAACCCACUCACCCCUGGGCCUGUGUGUGCUGAGGUCAGGAGACACAGCCACAUGUAUGACAGGUGUGUCUGUGAAGCUCCAAGCUACUCUGCCCACCUGCUCUCCUCCCAGCAGCACAGCAUCAGCCAGAGGUGGGCUCUGAGGCCUUCACCUCUGAAUCUUCCUGCAUUGAUCUCAGACAGGUGGGGUUAGGGGAGCCCAGCAGUGAAAGAACAGCCCCUGCCCAUCAGGGAGUUUUGAAUUCUCAAUGGGGAUGCUCAGCUGGGAAAGUUGACUCAAAGUUUCUAAAAUAUGAAAACCGCUGAAAUAUGAAACUCUUCUGGUCCCCACAUGUCAGGUCCAGUGCCCAGCAGCCUCCCAGCUCCCAGGAAUCACACACGGGCUUGGAGCUUCAUGGACCCAACUGACAGCCUCUGGCAUCAGAAUCAAAAUCACAAGGAACGCAUGUGCCUAAGUUCCUUCUCUUUCAAUUGAGCCUCGUCAUCCUAGCGACAAACAGGCCCUUUCCUUCUACAGUCCAGGAAAGUUAGUCUCACCCAUCCUGAUAAACCCUAGUGAUGUGUGCCCAGGGGAGAGGGAUAAGCUGUUUCCACCGCUCACGUUUGAUGUCAUGGUGAGCUGACCAAAGGACCUUGAGAGUCUGCCUUGGACUUAGAAAUGCUGUCUGUUCUUUUCUUUCUAUGGGCAAUUUAGGAAAACUUUUCUGAUCAAAGAGGAACUUCUAAAAUAUUGACAUCAAAUUCUGAAAUAAAAAAAAGAUCAGAAUGGA
Molecule: non-coding RNA, 849 nt
Organism: Ictidomys tridecemlineatus (thirteen-lined ground squirrel)
Lineage: Eukaryota; Metazoa; Chordata; Mammalia; Rodentia; Sciuridae
Source: RefSeq, a predicted model, not a curated record